Molecule: long non-coding RNA, 1030 nt
Filed under: Elaeis guineensis (African oil palm)
Lineage: Eukaryota; Viridiplantae; Streptophyta; Magnoliopsida; Arecales; Arecaceae
Description: long non-coding RNA (EGUI_LNC012377)
Source: RNAcentral
CGGGGGGUGCAUAAUCCUGAGAUGGGUGCUCCGACCACCCGCAAGCUCAGCUACCUUCUUUUUAUGGGCCUUCUUCUCCAAUUUUUUCAUCUCAUUCGGGCCCGUCUCCACAACUGUUUCUGCAACCAAGGCAACUAAAUGGUUAGCGUAGGAGUAAAACGAAAAUUAAACAAUAUGGGGUCUUGAGACAAGUGACCCAUGCAUACCUUAAGGGACUGCCUGGCUGAUACCGAUGUUGAACAGCAUUUGUGGUGAUAAAAGCUCUUUCAGUAUCGAAAUCUUGAAGUUAUGUAGGACCCUCGCCUGCUCCCUUUGGCUCUGAUUCAAAAGAGGCUCCUUUAGCAUGGCCUCUUGAGAUUCGCCCCAGGCGACGAACCUCCAAUCCUCACCAAACGUCUGAAAGAUGAAGAGGAACCAUUCCUUCCAACCGUAGACAACGGUAGGCGUGUCCUAUAUCAACGGACGGACAUUCUUCUUCUUUCAUGUUGACACAUAUCACCACCUAUACGAAUCUAGAUGCCUCUUGGGGCUGAAGAAGGAGAGGAAAAGUGCAAUGCUAGGAUCGAUCCCAGCCAGCACGCACGCUAUGUGAAUCUACUGAUAUGUCGCUAAGAGUUCAGGACUAUAGAAUAGAGAGACAUUUUGAGGUGUUAAAGGAGAGCCAUGAAGAAGGGGUGGAGAGAAAGCCUCAGCCUAGCCUGAAAACAUUCUUCGUAAAGACUCAUCCAGCCUGGGAGAGGGCAGCAAACUUGAUCAUCCGGCCUUGGAAUUUUCAGCUAGAACUCUGGGGGGAUUUGAAACUAUUCGUGAAGCAGUAUCACAUUCCUUUCUAUCAGCUCAGACCGAAAUCCUAGUGGAGCAAAAUCAGAGUCUCCAGAGGCAAUCUCCCUUGUAGGAAGAAGUUUGGAAGCCACGGUUAGAAGAAGAGGAAGACUUGCGAUGAAAGGAGACAAGAAUAAACCCUAAAAGCCUAUGUCCAAUCUUGUCUGAGGUUUUAACUAGCUCCAAAGUUCAAAUUAUCACUAAGCGA